GAGCUUCGUUGUUACUCAAGAGACCUCACCCAGUUUUGUAACAUAACCUGUCCCAUCAAUCACCGUAUCUCCAAGUGCCAACAGGCUGGACAAGGGCUUGGCUCUGCUUCUCACAACGUGUAAUCCCCAGCGCCAAGUCACCAGGACACAGUAGACUAUUGGGUUCCGCUCAGCCAUAAUUCCAUCAUUACCAUUGAUUUGUUCGCUCACGCUCCCCACGGUGCUUUUAAUCAACUCUCCAUCUUUGUGCCUUCACACCUUUACGCUUUUCAUGAUUGGCUCUGCUACCUUCUGCCUCUGCAAUGAAAUAGUACCAUAGAAAUCCUCCUGCCUCUUACAUACGUUAACAAUUCCAUUUCUUCUCUCUUUGGUCCAGUGAAGGGAUCUCCCUUUCCCACAAAGGCACCACUGUCUCUGCAAAGCACUCUGGUUACUUUAAUCUAUAAUAUCAGCAAUAAUCACUGUGGUAUUGUUGCCUAGGCAUUCUUGAAGAGUCAGAAGUGGACUGUAAUUGAAGAGUUCAUUACCAAGAUCAGUUGGCUCCUUGAUUACAGUGGCAAGGUGAAAUAUAUAUCCUCACCAAAAAGCAACUGCUAAACCUUUAGAGAAGUCACCCACUUUUCACUCUUUUUCAUUAGGACCCCGACAAGCUUGUCAGCAAAAUUAAAGAGGAAUCCGGCUGCAGAUGCACCUGUACAGAGGCACCUAAGCACUGCCUUCUCAAACUGCCAGCUGAGCGUGCCAGGGCUUUCAAGCAAGAGAAGUCUGACAAAGUUGUUGAUCCUUCUUGGACAGCAAAUUUAGAGAGACGGUGCUUCUCUCUGUCUGAGGGUUCACUUCAGACGGUCUCCAUCCUGUGUUGGAAAGCAGAAAGCAGCAAGUGGACCUGGGCUGCAUAAGCACCUGCCAGGCCCUAAACAGUGGUAAAACACUGGCUGCCAUGAACUUCUUGUUAAAAAAAAGAAAGAAGAGAAGGCUGUGGUUUGGAGGCUGCUGGAGCUGCCUGUAGCAGACUGUGAGCUGCUGAUGGCGUGGCUGCUGAAAUCACUACAAGGAUAAUAGGGCACACAUGCAUUUGUGGAUAAUUCUGGUUGCUAAUUGCUCAUGAAAUUUCAGGUAAGGAACAUCCAAU
RNAcentral lists this long non-coding RNA (1132 nucleotides) under Calidris pugnax (ruff). RNAcentral describes it as "lncRNA (ENSCPUG00000018025.1)". The record is from RNAcentral. Lineage: Eukaryota; Metazoa; Chordata; Aves; Charadriiformes; Scolopacidae.